Nematolebias whitei (Rio pearlfish) is the source of this 153-nucleotide long non-coding RNA. RefSeq lists it as uncharacterized. The record is from RefSeq and is a predicted model, not a curated record. The transcript has 3 exons. Lineage: Eukaryota; Metazoa; Chordata; Actinopteri; Cyprinodontiformes; Rivulidae.
GACCGAGCCGUCCAGCUCACCGCGGCGGCGGGCGAGGCAGCAGAGUCUCCGUUUGUCCUGGCGGUCACCGUUAAAGACGAGCACGGGAACAUCGACCUGGGGGCCAUCGCAGAGAGAGCUCGUGUUGAAGCUGCACCGCCGUCUGAUCUGCAG